UUUUUGAAAAGACAUUUUUGCCCCUGUUUUCCUGCUGUCAUGUGUCCAUUUUGCAAACUUCUUCUCCUUCAUCUUACCCAUCAAUUUCAUUUUUUUUUUUUUUUUUUUUUUUUUUUGCAAACCUUAUCAUUAACAUCUCUAGAAACAACAAAAGGAUUGCAAAUUUUUCCACAAACUUAUCUCUUCUUUCUUAAAAGGAUUACAAGCUUCAAAGAAUAAAAGUUAACGAAACCUAUUUUCCUCCAUUAUCAUUUUUCUUCUAUAUUUUAUAUUCAAUAU
RNAcentral lists this long non-coding RNA (279 nucleotides) under Lathyrus oleraceus (garden pea). RNAcentral describes it as "Pisum sativum (pea) long non-coding RNA (PSAT_LNC013789)". The record is from RNAcentral. Lineage: Eukaryota; Viridiplantae; Streptophyta; Magnoliopsida; Fabales; Fabaceae.